GAGUAUGCCCUCAAGCCCCCCCCUGGUAAGAGGAGCCGAUAUCAGGCACACCAAUUAGCCCAAGACAUCUAGUUAAACCACACCCCCACGGGCACGCAGCAGUGAUUAAUGUUAAAAAAUAAGCGACAGCUUGAUCUAAUCAGGGCAACGUAGGGCCGGCAAAUCUGGUGCCAGCCGCCGCGGUUACACCAGUGGCUCAAGUUGAUUAUUUCGGCGUAAAGCGUGGUUAAAGGUUGACUUACACUAGGGCCAAACUUAAACUAAGCCGUAAAAAGCCUAUUACUAAGGAAGAACAGGGACGAAAGUCGCCCUAAUACAUUUUCUUGAACCCACGACAGCUAGGGCACAAACUGGGAUUAGAUACCCCACUAUGCCUAGCCGUAAACUCUUAAUUUACCCAACAAUCGCCAGGGAACUACGAGCAAAGCUUAAAACUCAAGGGACUUGACGGUGCCCCAUAUCCAGCUAGAGGAGCCUGUCCUAUAAUCGAUGAUCCACGUUAAACCUCACCAUUUCUAGCUAUUCAGCCUGUAUACCUCCGUCGUCAGCCCACCACGUGAGUGUUCUUCAGUUGGCUAAAGGGUUACCCCACCAAUACGUCAGGUCAAGGUGCAGCAAAUGAACUGGGAAGAGAUGGGCUACACUCUCUAACUUAGAGAACACGAAAGACUUCAUGAAACACAGUCAGAAGGCGGAUUUAGUAGUAAGGGGGAAUCAUAAUAUC
RNAcentral lists this ribosomal RNA (724 nucleotides) under Gastrotheca pulchra. Its description in RNAcentral is "partial 12S ribosomal RNA". It matches the Rfam family "Bacterial small subunit ribosomal RNA", at positions 200 to 1358 of the family's 1533-position model. The record is from RNAcentral. Lineage: Eukaryota; Metazoa; Chordata; Amphibia; Anura; Hemiphractidae.